This 775-nucleotide long non-coding RNA is filed under the name Nicotiana benthamiana. RNAcentral describes it as "long non-coding RNA (NBEN_LNC019767)". The record is from RNAcentral. Lineage: Eukaryota; Viridiplantae; Streptophyta; Magnoliopsida; Solanales; Solanaceae.
GCACACCACAGACCCCCACCCCUAAAAUGAAGCCUUCCUUUCACUCAAUACACAGUUUUUACACGCUAGAAAGACGAAGAAGAUAAAAAGAGAUACUGAAUUUCAUAAUUAGUUGAUUUCCUUCUGAAAAGUCCAAGAAAAAUGCUUAAAAUUGUUUUAAUUGGCUCUGGUUAUUUUUUUUGGCUCUCUGAAUCUUCUGUUAAUCGAGAAUUUCCGGAAAACUUCUAAACUUGUGCAUCUGGUUAGCGAAACGGCUUAAGUUUUGGUUUGGAGUCAGUUUUUUGAAGUCCUUCUACUGCUCCAUUGGUUUUUAGGUUUGUUCACCGUUUGAUUGGUCAAAUUUGGGCUGCUUACUGCUGACCUCUCAUUUCUAUUAUUUUUUCUUCCCAAGUAUUUCUCUAUCCAUGAGCAACAAGUAAAUGUUGACUAUGUGACUCAAGUGGAAAUUUGAUGAAAUGCAAGUUAUAUUUAACUUAGUUUUCUUUCUAGUUCUCCUACUGUUUUUAAUGCUCUAUAGUAGAUUUCUAAUUAUAAAUGUCAAUUAGGUUUUCCCUCUCAUUACUUGUGUACUUUGAAUCCAUGUGUGAGAGUGAGAUAUUCUGAAUAUAUGUUUGAGAGUAGGAGUAAAUCUGAGUUUGUAAUGACAAAUGAACUAUGGACUUAAGCUAUUCAUUUUUAUUUUUGAUUUCAUGUUCUGGGUCACCGAUCUCUAUUUAGUUUUGCUGAAGAUCAGUGAGGUUUUAGUUUUGAUGUUUAUCUAAAUUCAUUAAGAUGC